Long non-coding RNA from Gadus chalcogrammus (walleye pollock), 1119 nucleotides. RefSeq lists it as uncharacterized. The transcript is spliced from 2 exons. Lineage: Eukaryota; Metazoa; Chordata; Actinopteri; Gadiformes; Gadidae. The record is from RefSeq and is a predicted model, not a curated record.
UACGGUCAUUUUUCAGAUGUGAGUGCUGUUCCAAAACGAGUACUCCGUGGUGCACUUACCGGAAAUUACGAUCACGACUGCCGCCUCGGCUCCUCCCCCGCAAUAAACAUCCCGCUUUGAACGGUGAACUCUUUACGCCUAGCAGCUAUAAAAAGCUAUAGAAUCUAUAAAAACUACAAAAUGACUCUAUUAAUGCAGGCUAUGUGGAAUAUGCGCCGACUUUGUCUCAGCCUGGCUCCGCCUCUUCCGCUACGUAGCUAAGAUGGCUGCCGUUGAGUACGGAGAGUGUCCUUCGAUCCACACUUCACGAUUAGCCCAUUUUGAGUACGGCAUCCGGGUCCUUGAAGUAUACUUAUUUUCGCCGGAUCUGAAUUGGAACGUACUGCGUACUCACAUUUUGAGGACACAGUACGGACAGUACGGGUAUUGGAACACGGCACAUGGGCAGAGAAUGUCUAAUAUGAGGAGAACUGGCACUCGCGGGUUAUUUCCGGGUUUCUGGACUGGUUGCCGUAAUAAUCUUUGACCACGCGGGGCGCUCGUAGGCGAGUCCAGAAUGAAUGGGAGCCAACGGGGUUUUAUCCUCAGAAUCCACUUUUCUCACGAUGUAAUUUUUUGUCAAGUAAUUUUAAAGUUGCUAUCAAAGGGUGGGGCUAAGAUAAUAAACUCAGCUGAAUAUUGCAUUUUUUAAGGUCACGUAUCUGUUCUAAAAAGGCGUUAAAAACAUGCGAUGACGUCACACACUGUAAUACUGUCAGAGGUACUGCUUUACGGCAGUUUCUAAAGCACUUCCCUUGUCCCGCAACGAUAACACCAGCUGUUGGAGUCGGACCUUGAUGCUGUGACAACGGACAAGUCUUCUUCCUCUGUCCUUUUCCCCUGCCUCUGUUCAGUAUGUUCAGUGUUGUUAAAUCAUCUUUUUUUUUAUUAGUUACUGUUGUUAUUGUGUUCUUGUUAGUGUGAUUUUUGAAUAAACUUGCCUGUUGCAAUGUUGGUAUAAUGUUUGUAUAAUUACUGUUAUACAACUGUUACUGUUUCAAUGUGACCCAGACCAUAUUUCUCAUUUAACAAACAUGUGUAGCUUAUAAUGUGUUGCAUGGCAGAGCAAUUACGGUAUAU